RNAcentral lists this microRNA precursor (102 nucleotides) under Marmota monax (woodchuck). The record is from RNAcentral. Lineage: Eukaryota; Metazoa; Chordata; Mammalia; Rodentia; Sciuridae.
AGUGCAAUGGCUGGAUCAUAUGGUAAGACUACAUUUAGUUUUAUAAGAAACUGCCAAACUGUCUUCUGAAGAGCUGUACCAUUUUGAAUUUCCUCCAGCAAU